AUGCAAACUGGCAGAAGGCCACGGACACUGUGCCCGAAGGUCCGCAUCAAAAAGGAGUUAAAAAGAAAAAAAAAGAUGGGGUGGGGGUGGGGGGGGAUUUCCUUUUACCUUUUCUCUUCACGUGGUGUGAGGGUUUGGGAGUGGGCACUGGCGGGCGGGCGAGCUCGCUGGGAGGAACAGUUAUUGUGCCUACGGCCCGAGCUGACGCUCCUCACAGCCGCCACUUUCCUCGGACUCUCCGAAGUUGUGCCAUGUGCUGAGGGGCCGCGCUCUGCAGCUCCCCUGAAUUCGGCUCCCCGCCCGGCCCGGCCUGACAGAACGGAGAACGGCAGCGCGGCCCCACGCCCCCACACAAAGGCUUACGCCGCCGCCCGGCCGGUACGCAACUUUCCCUGCCCCGCGGCGAACAACGGCCGCCCGCCCCUCCCGCCUGACAGUGCCUUUCGCGCCGCUCCCCCGCAAAGUUUGCGGCCGGCCUCCUCGGGCCGGGAACGCCCGCCAGCCGCUGAGGGGCCGGGGGUAGGCGGGCGGCGAGGCGCGGGCCGGCCCCGCUGCGCGCCGUCCAACUUGGGGCGCCCCGUGACAGCCAUGUUGGGGUCAGCCCCCAGGCUCCCGCGAGGCUGGGCUCCGGGAGCGGGACGGAGCGCCCAGGGCACGGGCGGAGCAGAGCCCCGCGAACAAAGAACUUCUCGCCCCGCCGGAGCGGGGCGAGAGGAGAAAAGAAAAAGAGGGAGAAGCAGCCCCCGCCGCCCCGCGUCGGGACGACCUCCCGCCCCGUCCUGUCCCGUCCCCGCGCUAGCUCCGCACGGCCCGAGCCGAGAAGGAAAUAAAAACACCGCGCCGAGGGUGAAGAUCAGUGGGACAUAUUCUACAGCCCUUAUUCGGUUGCAUCUCUGUGUUUUACUGCCUAAGUCUGGGAGACAUCAGAGAGGAAGCUUCUUUCAGCCAGAAAAGAUGAAUAAAGACUUCAAAAAAUGGCCCUAUACUUGGUCUGCUAUCUUCUGAAAAUCUGUUUAGACUUGCGGUAACAAUAUGAAGCUGUAGCUUCUCCAGAUCCUGAGUUUCAAACAGCAUAGAUGAAAUGCAGAGGCAGACCAGCAGCAGCAGCUCUUCCUGUGUCCCAGGUAGCAAAAAAUCGAAACAGCCCCUGAUUCUGAAGGGAAGGAUGAGGACUGGCCUCUUUUCCAAGUGUGUAAAGAGAAGAACUUCGCAUGACCUGCACAUGGCAGCCAUGGACCCCUGGG
Molecule: long non-coding RNA, 1244 nt
Filed under: Numida meleagris (helmeted guineafowl)
Lineage: Eukaryota; Metazoa; Chordata; Aves; Galliformes; Numididae
Description: lncRNA (ENSNMEG00000000393.1)
Source: RNAcentral